UUAAUAGUUAGAUUCCGGUAUUAAACUUCAAAAUAUCUGUAACUUUGAACAAUAGGUUGAGUAUUUUAGGAAAACUAAAGUAGAUAAAGGUAAUGUAUUUAGAAAAACAUUGACCAAACAAAUUCUUCAAAUAGGUCAACAUAUGAAAAAUACGAAAAUAUGGGUCGAUUGCCAAUGAACCAACUCUCAACAAGAGACUAUAUAUAUGACUAGUAUAUACUUUGCUAUACACUUUAUGAUUGUUACCCGUUUCAUGUUUCUACGUUAAUUAUAUUUUUCGGUGAACUAUUUUCUAUAUAUAAGACAAUCAUGUAAGACAUGUAAGGUUGUCACUAGUAUGUGUUCUAAUGUGCACAUGCUUAAUCAUUUGUUCUAUCAGACCCUUUUUUAUUUUCAUAAUAAAACAUCUUUAUUAGAUUAUCAUGAAGUUAUAAGCAAUUGUGUUUUCAAAUAGUUAUUCUGAAUCCUCUAUAUCACACAUCACAUUUAGAUGUUUAAUCGCUAGUGUGUGUUUUCGUGUGCCUUUGUAGAGCUUCUUUUCGACCAAACUCUUGACCACACACGUCACAUUUUUUAUGUUUGUCUCCAGUGUGUAUUCUCAUGUGUCUAUUAUAGGCACCUUGACCACUAAAUUCUUUACCGCACACAUCGCACUUGUACGGUUUAUCAUCAGUAUGUGUUCUCAUGUGUUUCUGAAGAUAAUCAACCCGACAAAAUGUUUUGUCGCACACACCACAUUUAAAAGGUUUAUCACCAGUAUGAAACCUCAUGUGUAUACGCAAAUUAUGAUUAUCAAUAAACUGUUUACCACAUACAUCACAUGAACACGGUUUAUUACUUGAGUGUAUUGUUACGUGGCUUUGAAGAACAUAUCUUCGACUAAAUUCUUUUCCACAUACACCACAUUUAUAAGGUUUAUCACCAGUAUGCUUUCUCGUGUGUCUCUGUAAGCUGAAAAGAUGUCUAAAUCCUUUACCACAUAUAUCACAUUUGUAAGGUUUAUCGUCAGUAUGUGUUCUCGAGUCUGUACGAUAGGCAUUGUGAUCACUUAACAAAUUACCAAAUGAAGGUUUAUCAUCACUAUGCGUUCUCGAGUCUGUACGAUAGGCAUUGUGAUCACUUAACAAAUUACCAAAUGAAGGUUUAUCAUCACUAUGUGUUCUCGAGUCUGUACGAUAGGCAUUGUGAUCACUUAACAAAUUACCAAAUAAAGGUUUAUCACCUGUUUGUGUUCUCAAGUGAUUUUGAAAGCUACUAUUACCAAGGAUACCAGAUUGAUCAGGUUUAUCGCCAGUGUGUGCUCUCGUGUGUUUUCGUAAAGUAUUUAAAUGUCCUAAUCUUUUACCACAUAUAUCACAUUUAUAAGGUUUAUCGCCAGUGUGUGUUCUCUUGUGUUUUUGAACGCUACUAAGCAGACUAAACCUUUUAUGACAUAUAUCACAUUCAUAGGGUUUAUCGCCAGUAUGUGUUCUCAUAUGAUACUGCAUGUAACAAUGAUGCAUAAACCUUUUACCGCAUAUAUCACAUGCAUGUGGUUUAUCUCCAGUGUGUAUUUUCAUGUGCUUGUUCAAGUUACCAAGCUGAUUGAACGCUUUAUCACAUAUAUUACACCGAUGAGGUUUAUCAUAGGGUUUAUCGCCAGCAUGUGUUCUCAUAUGAUACUGCAUGUAACAAUGAUGAAUAAACCUUUUACCACAUAUAUCACAUACAUGAGGUUUAUCUUCAGUGUGUAUUUUCAUGUGUUUGCUCAAGUUACCAAGCUUCUUGAACGCUUUAUCACAUAUAUAACAUUGAUGCGGUUUGUCGGUGUGUACAAUCCUGUGUUUUUGCAAGUUUUCAAGCUGAUUAAAUGUUUCAUCACAUAUGUCACAUUGAUGAGUGUUAUCACCAGUGGUCGUUCUCAUGUGAUUUUCUAUGUUCCAGCUCUCUAGAUACGUGUCCCCACAUUCUUCAUUCGAAAAUUUAGUAUCCGUCAUGUCAGUAUGUAUUCUUUUAAAGAUGUAAAGUGUUUCUUCUAGAAUCGCUUGUGAAUGCUGGAACUAGUAUAAUAGUCCCAGAUGUAAAGCAUUAUUAAGGUGUACUAUUUUUAUGAGUACCAGGUUGACAAACCUGUUUGUAUAAGUAUGUGAGUAUUCACUUCCGAUUGACAUACCCUAGAUGUAUGAGUUGUCGCUCAAUAUGACUUCUUGCUCAAUUUAGACACAUUAUUUCAUUUGAAUGACUUCUUGCUCCAGACUGACAUAUCAUUGGUAAGAGUUCUCGCUCCAGAUUGACAUAUUCUUUGUAUGAGUAGUACUCGCCCGAUG
RNAcentral lists this long non-coding RNA (2306 nucleotides) under Mytilus galloprovincialis (Mediterranean mussel). The record is from RNAcentral. Lineage: Eukaryota; Metazoa; Mollusca; Bivalvia; Mytilida; Mytilidae.